UAGGGAAUCUUCCACAAUGGGCGAAAGCCUGAUGGAGCAACGCCGCGUGAGUGAUGAAGGUUUUCGGAUCGUAAAACUCUGUUGUUAGGGAAGAACACCCGAGAGAGGAUCUCGGACUGACGGUACCUAACGAGAAAGCCCCGGCUAACUACGUGCCAGCAGCCGCGGUAAUACGUAGGGGGCAAGCGUUGUCCGGAAUUAUUGGGCGUAAAGCGCGCGCAGGCGGCUUAUUAAGUCUGAUGUGAAAGCCCACGGCUCAACCGUGGAGGGCCAUUGGAAACUGGUAGGCUUGAGUGCAGGAGAGGAGAGCGGAAUUCCCGGUGUAGCGGUGAAAUGCGUAGAUAUUAGGAGGAACACCAGUGGCGAAGGCGACUUACUGGACUGUAACUGACGCUGAGUCACGAAAGCGUGGGUAGCAAACA
Molecule: ribosomal RNA, 422 nt
Filed under: uncultured bacterium
Lineage: Bacteria
Description: bacterial SSU rRNA
Rfam family: Bacterial small subunit ribosomal RNA
Source: RNAcentral